AAUGAGUUUGAUUCUUGCUUACUAAUAACAUUUUUAAAUGAAUUAUAUGUAAAAUAUUUAAAUAAUAAGGUUUACAGUAAUUAGUUUUAAUUAUUAUUUUAAUUUAUGUUUAGUAAUUUAAUUAGUUUAGAUAAAAAUUGUGCCAGCAUUCGCGGUUAUACAAUUUAAUCAAUGUUAUAUUUUAACAUUAAAAAUAUUAAUUAUAAAUGGUUUUGGAUUAUAUUUAUUUAGGUGAAAUUUUUUUUUAUAAAUAAAAUCUUAAUUUAUUUUUUAUAAAUUUUAUAAAAAACUAGGAUUAGAUACCCUAUUAUUAAUAAUAAAAUUAUUUAUGUGAAUAUUAAUAGUUAUGUUCUAAAAAAUUCAAAGAAUUUGACGGUAAUUUAUUUCUUUUUAGAGGAAUCUGUAUUAUAAUUUGAUAAACCACGAUAGUUUAUACUUAAAUAUAUUUUGUAUACCGCUAUUUUAUAGGGUGUUUUUUUAGGAUAUUCUCUUUUAUUAAUUAUAUUUAAAUAUUAGGUCAAGGUGCAGUUUUUUUUAAAGUAGGUAUGGAUUACUUUAAUAUUAAAUAUAUUGAAUUAUUAUAUUUUUAUAUGUAUAUGAAAUAGGAUUUAUUAGUAAAUUUUAAUUAUUAUUAAAAUUGAAUUUAUAUUUGCUCUAAAUUAUGUACAUAUCGCCCGUCAUUCCCAAUUAAAUGGGACAAGUCGUAACAAAGUAAAUUUACCGGAAGGUGUAUUUAGAAUACUAC
Molecule: non-coding RNA, 745 nt
Filed under: Extensus latus
Lineage: Eukaryota; Metazoa; Arthropoda; Insecta; Hemiptera; Cicadellidae
Source: RNAcentral